This is a non-coding RNA of Myodes glareolus (Bank vole), 1253 nucleotides long. Lineage: Eukaryota; Metazoa; Chordata; Mammalia; Rodentia; Cricetidae. The record is from RefSeq and is a predicted model, not a curated record.
CUCUCUGAGCACGCAGGGCAGAAGAGUCUGAAGAGUACAGCCCCACACAGCGUGCUUCUGGGAGAGACUCUGAGAGUCGUGCGCAUCGACUCUCCUGCCUUCCAGCGGCUGGGCUGGAUUCCAGAUCCUGCAAAAGAAUGCAUGCAUGGGGUCCCCACCAUCUAGGCUUCAGGCUAUGUUGAGGUCUUCAAAUGUUCCUGCACUGGAUGGAUUCCUCUUUUGGGGUGAGCAGCUCGCGGUGACCAAGGGGACAAAGAUUCAGCUUGUAUUUCUUGGUCUAAUUCAGUGUAGCAGAAAGCAAGUGAACAAAAAGACAUGAGACAGGAUGCUAUCCUCUCUGGGAGAGGGCCCAGAAGCCUGUGUUCAGGACCCAGAGUUGCUUCAACCUCCAUAUGUGACCACUGACAAAUCCCUCCCACUUGGGCUUUUCCAUUCUCUCUUGAGAUGGACUAUAUGACCUACAUGACUGGCCAACUCCAUUGUCAUUCCUGUCGGAGGCUGUUGAAAUACACAGCAUAUGGAAACUGAUAAUUCAGAUGUCAACCCACCAGAGAAGUGACUCUCUGAUGAAGAUUAAUCCUGUCCACACAAGGCUUGCAAGACCAAUUCUGAAAACUGUGGCUUACUUUUUCUAAAGCAACUUGGUGUCUCCCCAAUACCUGCAUUGUAGUGUGUAAUCUCAUGUAAUGUGUAUCCAUAAUUGCAUGUUCACAUCUCAGUCUUAUGGUCAUGCAUAUCUGGGGGUGGUCAGGAAGAUGACUUUUCAUUUAGUUAUAUAAUUUUGAUAUAUAGAAUGUAUGCUAGGACAUGCUUCAGAACUAGAGCUAUUGUCCCAUGAGGACUGUGGACACUUAAAAGCCUGCUUUGCUCCUUUUGCUCAGACUAACUGCACACAAUAAGCUCACUUUCACCUCAGUGCAAAUUCAAGCUAGACUAAAGGUUUUCUGUAAAUAGAUUAUAAGUUUAAAGCUUUAAUAAUAACUAUGCCCAAGGUCAGAGUCACAGGUGUCUUACCAAGGUUGCUACAUAAAGCACCCUAAGAGAAGCAUGCCAGUUCUUCACUUGCCAAGCCUAGUGACAAUGGACCUCUGUCUCAAAGCAUGUCACUGAGCACUGUGCCUCUACCCGCCCCCCUCAAUCUGGUCACAGUCUUACUCCUGAAACCUUGAAACCAUUGUGUUGCCAUGGUAAAUGGCUCAACUCCUUAUUUGUUUACCCUAGGAAUGUGCUUUUGACUAAUGAGAGGCAAUUUU